UUUAAAUUAUGUAUUAAAAUGCUAUGUUCUAUGUAAUGUUAAUUUAAAAUAAAUAAAAGGUUGGAUCGAUUAUCAAGAACGAAGUAUUUGGGAACUGAUUGGGAAAUAGUUUUUAUUAUAGAUUAAGACACGAGCAUGUUAAUUGUUGUAUCAAUUACAUGAUAACUUUCUAAUGACUCGGAAGAUCCUAAUGCUCUUGGUUACUCCAAUGUCAAUGUAUUAGAACAUUAACGUCCUUUAAAUAGUGUGAGAUGUGAUUGCUAAAUAUCAUUAGGAGUGAUAUCAAGUGCCGAGUAUAUUGUAUUAUAAUAACUAAAUAUGAAGUUCUCAUUAGUGUGCGUGUUGUUGAUGUCUGUGUUUAUGUUGUUUAUUACAAAGAGCUCUGCCAACCCUAAAGUUAACUUCGGAGCUAUUAAAAAAGGCCUAGGUGUUCUGAGCGCGGCGGGCAUGGCUGAAAACUUAUAUGAAGAAUGGAAACACAAACAUGGACACUGAUAUAGAUUUAGUUCAAUAAAUAAAAUUUUAACACGA
Molecule: long non-coding RNA, 531 nt
Organism: Danaus plexippus (monarch butterfly)
Lineage: Eukaryota; Metazoa; Arthropoda; Insecta; Lepidoptera; Nymphalidae
Exons: 2
Source: RefSeq, a predicted model, not a curated record